RNAcentral lists this ribosomal RNA (1201 nucleotides) under metagenome. RNAcentral's name for it is "bacterial SSU rRNA". It matches the Rfam family "Bacterial small subunit ribosomal RNA", at positions 286 to 1498 of the family's 1533-position model. The record is from RNAcentral.
GGGGUUCUGAGGGGAAGGUCCCCCACAUUGGAACUGAGACACGGUCCAAACUCCUACGGGAGGCAGCAGUGAGGAAUAUUGGUCAAUGGACGGGAGUCUGAACCAGCCAAGUAGCGUGCAGGACGACGGCCCUAUGGGUUGUAAACUGCUUUUAUAGGGGGAUAAAGUGUGCCACGUGUGGCAUAUUGCAGGUACCCUAUGAAUAAGGACCGGCUAAUUCCGUGCCAGCAGCCGCGGUAAUACGGAAGGUCCGGGCGUUAUCCGGAUUUAUUGGGUUUAAAGGGAGCGUAGGCCGUCUUAUAAGCGUGUUGUGAAAUGUCGGGGCUCAACCUGGGCAUUGCAGCGCGAACUGUGAGACUUGAGUGCGCAGGAAGUAGGCGGAAUUCGUCGUGUAGCGGUGAAAUGCUUAGAUAUCACGAAGAACUCCGAUUGCGAAGGCAGCCUGCUGUAGCGCAACUGACGCUGAAGCUCGAAAGCGUGGGUAUCGAACAGGAUUAGAUACCCUGGUAGUCCACGCGGUAAACGAUGGAUGCUCGCUGUUUGCGUCUGACGUAAGCGGCCAAGCGAAAGCGUUAAGCAUCCCACCUGGGGAGUACGCCGGCAACGGUGAAACUCAAAGGAAUUGACGGGGGCCCGCACAAGCGGAGGAACAUGUGGUUUAAUUCGAUGAUACGCGAGGAACCUUACCCGGGCUUGAACUGUAGGCGAACGAUUCAGAGAUGAAGAGGCCCUUCGGGGCGCCUAUGGAGGUGCUGCAUGGUUGUCGUCAGCUCGUGCCGUGAGGUGUCGGCUUAAGUGCCAUAACGAGCGCAACCCUUGUUCGUAGUUGCCAUCGGGUUAUGCCGGGCACUCUGCGAAGACUGCCUCCGUAAGGAGUGAGGAAGGUGGGGAUGACGUCAAAUCAGCACGGCCCUUACGUCCGGGGCUACACACGUGUUACAAUGGCAUGUACAGAAAGCUGGGUGUAUGCAAAUACGCUCGAAUCCCUAAAACAUGUCUCAGUUCGGACUGGGGUCUGCAACCCGACCCCACGAAGCUGGAUUCGCUAGUAAUCGCGCAUCAGCCAUGGCGCGGUGAAUACGUUCCCGGGCCUUGUACACACCGCCCGUCAAGCCAUGAAAGCCGGGGGCGUCUAAAGUCCGUGACCGCGAGGGUCGGCCUAGGGUGAAACCGGUGAUUGGGGCUAAGUCGUAACAAGGUA